UACGGAGGGUCCAAGCGUUAUCCGGAUUCAUUGGGUUUAAAGGGUCCGUAGGCGGGAGAAUAAGUCAGUGGUGAAAUCCUACAGCUUAAUUGUAGAACUGUUAUUGAAACUGUUUUUCUUGAAUGUAGAUGAAGUGGGUGGAAUGUGUCAUGUAGCGGUGAAAUGCAUAGAUAUGACACAGAACACCGAUUGCGAAGGCAGCUCACUAAAUUAUUAUUGACGCUGAUGGACGAAAGCGUGGGGAGCAAACAGG
This 253-nucleotide ribosomal RNA is filed under the name uncultured bacterium. Its description in RNAcentral is "partial 16S ribosomal RNA". It matches the Rfam family "Bacterial small subunit ribosomal RNA", at positions 524 to 776 of the family's 1533-position model. The record is from RNAcentral.